RNAcentral lists this transfer-messenger RNA (351 nucleotides) under Loktanella fryxellensis. RNAcentral describes it as "Alphaproteobacteria transfer-messenger RNA". It matches the Rfam family "Alphaproteobacteria transfer-messenger RNA". From Rfam's summary of the family: Bacterial tmRNA, also known as 10Sa RNA or SsrA, is named for its dual tRNA and mRNA-like properties. Its role is to liberate the mRNA from a stalled ribosome. Lineage: Bacteria; Pseudomonadati; Pseudomonadota; Alphaproteobacteria; Rhodobacterales; Roseobacteraceae. The record is from Rfam by way of RNAcentral.
UCCCUUGCAACGCGCGCACAGCGCGCCUAUGUCUGGCAUGUCUUUCGGGACUAUGGACAUAAACGCGCUCGUAAUAAGCGGAUCGGACCCGGGGGCGGUACCCGGCGUCUCCACCAAUACUCUGGUCAUUUGCCAGCGAUGGGGACGAAACAGGAUCGACGAACGUCUAAAGGGGUAUUGCUUUGUCCCGGUGAGUUACCACCGUUAUCGGUACGCAAAAGCUAGUUGCAAAUGACAACAAAGCACCGAUGGCCCUCGCAGCGUAAGCUGUGCGGAAAAUCGAAACCUAAGCCCUAGCGUUUUGCGACGUUAGGCGGGGUCCGCAGGUACCUGGCAACAGAAACCUGCACC